GCCAGUGUGGUGGUGUGGUUGGAACACUGGACUAGGAACCUAGAGACCAGGGUUCAAAUCCAUGCUUUGGCA
Phrynosoma platyrhinos (Desert horned lizard) is the source of this 72-nucleotide non-coding RNA. The record is from the annotation of a GenBank genome assembly. NCBI's taxonomy places the organism in Eukaryota, Metazoa, Chordata, Lepidosauria, Squamata, Phrynosomatidae.